Long non-coding RNA from Sander lucioperca (pikeperch), 1641 nucleotides. RefSeq lists it as uncharacterized. Lineage: Eukaryota; Metazoa; Chordata; Actinopteri; Perciformes; Percidae. The transcript has 3 exons. The record is from RefSeq and is a predicted model, not a curated record.
AGUCAGGUCCAUAAAUAUUGGGACAUCGACACAAUUCUAAUCUUUUUGGCUCUAUACACCACCACAAUGGAUUUGAAAUGAAACGAACAAGAUGUGCUUUAACUGCAGACUUUCAGCUUUAAUUUGAGGGUAUUUGCAUCCAAAUCAGGUGAACGAUGUAGGAAUUACAACAGUUUGUAUAUGUGCCUCCCACUUUUUAAGGGACCAAAAGUAAUGGGACAAUUGGCUGCUCAGCUGUUCCAUGGCCAGGUGUGUGUUAUUCCCUCAUUAUCCCAUUAACAAGGAGCAGAUAAAAGGUCCAGAGUUCAUUUCAAGUGUGCUAUUUGCAUUUGGAAUCUGUUGCUGUCAACUCUCAAUAUGAGAUCCAAAGAGCUGUCACUAUCAGUGAAGCAAGCCAUCAUUAGGCUGAAAAAACAAAACAAACCCAUCAGAGAGAUAGCAAAAACAUUAGGUGUGGCUAAAUCAACUGUUUGGAACAUUCUUAAAAAGAAAGAACGCACCGGUGAGCUCAGCAACACCAAAAGACCUGGAAGACCACGGAAAACAACUGUGGUGGAUGACCGAAGAAUUCUUUCCCUGGUGAAGAAAACACCCUUCACAACAGUUGGCCAGAUCAAGAACCCUCUCCAGGAGGUAGGUGUAUGUGUGUCAAAGUCAACAAUCAAGAGAAGACUUCACCAGAGUGAAUACAGAGGGUUCACCACAAGAUGUAAACCAUUGGUGAGCCUCAAAAACAGGAAGGCCAGAUUAGAGUUUGCCAAACAACAUCUAAAAAAGCCUUCACAGUUCUGGAACAACAUCCUAUGGACAGAUGAGACCAAGAUCAACUUGUACCAGAGUGAUGGGAAGAGAAGAGUAUGGAGAAGAAAAGGAACUGCUCAUGAUCCAAAGCAUACCACCUCAUCAGUGAAGCGUGGUGGUGGUAGUGUCAUGGCGUGGAACUGGUUCUCUUGUAUUUAUUGAUGAUGUGACUGCUGACAAAAGCAGCAGGAUGAAUUCUGAAGUGUUUCGGGCAAUAUUAUCUGCUCAUAUUCAGCCAAAUGCUUCAGAACUCAUUGGACGGCGCUUCACAGUGCAGAUGGACAAUGACCCGAAGCAUACUGCGAAAGCAAGAGUUUUUUAAGGGAAAGAAGUGGAAUGUUAUGCAAUGGCCAAGUCAAUCACCUGACCUGAAUCCGAUUGAGCAUGCAUUUCACUUGCUGAAGACAAAACUGAAGGGAAAAUGCCCUAAGAACAAGCAGGAACUGAAGACAGUUGCAGUAGAGGCCUGGCAGAGCAUCACCAGGGAUGGAACCCAGCGUCUGGUGAUGUCUAUGCGUUCCAGACUUCAGGCUGUAAUUGACUGCAAAGGAUUUGCAACCAAGUAUUAAAAAGUGAAAGUUUGAUUUAUGAUUGUUAAUCUGUCCCAUUACUUUUGGUCCCUUAAAAAGUGGCAGGCACAUAUACAAACUGUUGUAAUUCCUACACCGUUCACCUGAUUUGGAUGUAAAUACCCUCAAAUUAAAGCUGAAAGUCUGCAGUUAAAGCACAUCUUGUUCAUUUCAUUUCCAAUCCAUUGUGGUGGUGUAUAGAGCCAAAAAGAUUAGAAAUGUGUCGAUGUCCCAAUAUUUAUGGACCUGACUGUUUGGGCUAAUUCAUAAU